Rhodocollybia butyracea is the source of this 111-nucleotide non-coding RNA. The record is from the annotation of a GenBank genome assembly. NCBI's taxonomy places the organism in Eukaryota, Fungi, Basidiomycota, Agaricomycetes, Agaricales, Omphalotaceae.
GUUCAGAUGGUGUAAUGGCUAACACAAUGAUAUUGAGUAUGUUUCCCGGUGAGGUCAAUUCCUCAAUUUUCAUCAGUUUCAUAGAUGAGGGUUCGAAUCCUUCUCUGGACU